Molecule: ribosomal RNA, 513 nt
Filed under: uncultured bacterium
Lineage: Bacteria
Description: partial 16S ribosomal RNA
Rfam family: Bacterial small subunit ribosomal RNA
Source: RNAcentral
GAUGAACGCUGGCGGCGUGCCUAAUACAUGCGAGUCGAGCGAACAGAUAAGGAGCUUGCUCCUUUGACGUUAGCGGCGGACGGGUGAGUAACACGUGGAUAACCUACCUAUAAGACUGUGAUAACUUCGGGAAACCGGAGCUAAUACCGGAUAACAUAUUGAACCGCAUGGUUCAAUAGUGAAAGGCGGCUUUGCUGUCACUUAUAGAUGGAUCCGCGCCGUAUUAGCUAGUUGGUAAGGUAACGGCUUACCAAGGCAACGAUACGUAGCCGACCUGAGUGGGUGAUCGGCCACACUGGAACUGAGACACGGUCCAGACUCCUACGGGAGGCAGCAGUAGGGAAUCUUCCGCAAUGGGCGAAAGCCUGACGGAGCAACGCCGCGUGAGUGAUGAAGGUCUUCGGAUCGUAAAACUCUGUUAUCAGGGAAGAACAAAUGUGUAAGUAACUGUGCACAUCUUGACGGUACCUGAUCAGAAAGCCACGGCUAACUACGUGCCAGCCGCCGCUGUAA